RNAcentral lists this long non-coding RNA (1061 nucleotides) under Gallus gallus (chicken). RNAcentral's name for it is "lncRNA (ENSGALG00010003147.1)". Lineage: Eukaryota; Metazoa; Chordata; Aves; Galliformes; Phasianidae. The record is from RNAcentral.
AAACAAGAAUUUUUUUUUGCUUAGCUGCAAUAUUGUUGGAAUAACUGAGAUUUGAGGGAGCAGCUUGCACUCCUGGAGUAGCUGUACUGACUCUUCAGGAGAAGACAAGAAGAGGGUAUAAGGAGCUCCUCAGUGAAGCAGAUGAUGGGCUGGAGGAGAGCUUGUGGGUCAGGGAAAAGGCCUGUGAAAGGUACAUCACAGUGGGUGUGUGUUAGAGGUAUCCCAUCACCGUAAGAAAGUGGAAGAAGCCUUUUUUGGAGCACAGGAGGAAGCUUCUGAAUCAUUAACCUUGGUUCUUAUGAAGGAAUUUAACCUUCCUUGACAUCAGUUGGAAGAUCAGCAUGAUGAGAAGUGAGCAGUCCAUGAGGUUUCUAGAGACUGCCACAAAUAAAUUCAUGAAACAGAUAUUGGGUUGGCCAACCAGGAGUGAUCUGUUUGAGAGCUGCAUCUGAUCUUCACUGACAUGGAAGAACAGGAUGGGGAUGUGGAAAUGAGCAGCAGCCUUGGCUGUAGUGACCAUGAAAUAGGAAAGUGUGAGAUUUUGAACACAGUGAGGAAGGAGAGCAGCAGAGGGCAGACCCUGGUAGGUGGGAUCUCAGGGAAGGCAGCUCUGAAGGACAAAGUUGCUCAGGAAAGCUGGCAGGCCUUUCAGGACCACAUGCCCCAAGCACAAGAAGAUAAAUAAGACACUCAAGGGAGUGCUUUCAUUCAGCACAUAGCUCAUGGAGGAGCACCAAUGGAGCAUUCAAGAAGACAUCAUACAGUGUGGAAGUGGAUGUGCUACAAAGGAGGCAUUUAGAGGUAUUGCCCACGCGUGUAAGGAUGGUGUUAGAGAAGUGAAAUAUUCUAGACCUACCACUUCCAAGUGACAUCAAGGAUAAUAGUACAGGCUUCUGUGGCUCCAUUAGUAAUAAAACAUUGAACAAGGAAAAUGUGGGUCAUUGAUGAAUGGAAGGGGUGGAUUAGUGACAGUGGACACAAAGUUGAUCUAAGUGCUUUUUUUUGCCUCUUGCAGAAUGUCACCCUUGUGCUACUAUCUGUAUGCUAUAAAAACAAAUUGU